This is a long non-coding RNA of Oncorhynchus tshawytscha (Chinook salmon), 2516 nucleotides long. Lineage: Eukaryota; Metazoa; Chordata; Actinopteri; Salmoniformes; Salmonidae. The record is from Ensembl.
CUGCAGGUAAAAUAGAGUGCUAACCUGCUGGUAAAAUAGAGUGCUAACCUGCUGGUAAAAUAGAGUGCUAACCUGCUGGUAAAAUAGAGUGCUAACCUGCUGGUAAAAUAGAGUGCUAACCUGCUGGUAAAAUGGAGCGCUAACCUGCAGAUAAAAUAGAGCGCUAACCUGCUGGUAAAAUGGAGCAGUAACCUGCUGGUAAAAUGGAGUACUAACCUGCAGGUAAAAUAGAGUACUAACCUGCAGGUAAAAUAGAGUACUAACCUGCAGGUAAAAUAGAGUACUAACCUGCAGGUAAAAUAGAGUGCUAACCUGCAGGUAAAAUAGAGUGCUAACCUGCUGGUAAAAUAGAGUGCUAACCUGCUGGUAAAAUGGAGCGCUAACCUGCAGGUAAAAUAGAGCGCUAACCUGCAGGUAAAAUAGAGCGCUAACCUGCUGGUAAAAUCAGUCAGAUAAUGGUAAUUUGGUUCAUUUCUCCCCCUCCCUGUAAGUUUGCUCUAUGGGCUGUCACUAUCCAGGCUAUCUUGAUGAAAAACAAGUGUGUGCCCUGUGGCCUAAAGCAAUGCCAAAGAUAGAGAGCUGAUAAAGAGAGGGAGGGCUGGGGUGUCUCAAUGAAGAGAGAGUGAGACUGUGAGAAGAAGAGGGGGGAGAGAGGGCUGUCUCAGUUCUCUCUGUCUACAGAAACAGCUGCUCUCCAUUGAUUACACUGGCAGUUACACUCCUAACAACCGUAUGUUUAGUGCAGAAUACUAGAGGUAAUCUUCAAUUAGACAAACCAACUGCUUUUAAAAAGAUGUACACUGCAAGGAGUAUAUGAAAUUAUAAAUAAAAAACAGAAUAAUAAUAUGUAUGCUUUCAUACAAUUUCAUAUGUGUAACCUGUCAAUGCAUUGAGGUGGUAACCUUGGUACAGUAUUUAACAUUCAGAGUGAGAUGUACACCAAGAUAUUGAUAGUCAUUCUUUGGUUUUUAUUUUUAAACAUUAUUUCACAAGUCAACAAACAUCGUACAAUAUCAAAAUCAGCUCUUAAACACAACUUUGGCUCUUGGUAUCACUAAGGUGUUGUAAUCAAAUGCGACUUCUUGCAAGGAAGAUGAGACCAGUCCACCAGUUUUAAGUUACCCUUUAAUGCAACUCCAGAUGACAUUGAGAGGUGUCAAUAGAACCCUUACCAUUGCUAAAACUCAGUAAUGGUAACGGUUAGAUUGCCACCGUCUAGCUUCCAACCGUCAACAGCUUGUGUGUGUGGUGAUAGUAUCCGGAGGGGGAAUGAGACCCUGGAUAGUACAUCAUCUAUACUGUAGUGUCACCAUAACGAACUUACAGUAUAUGAUGAUAUCCUGUCCAGGGUACAAGACUAACGAACAAUGUCCCAUGAUGACAUUGCCUAAAUGAAUAAACCUGUUGGGGAGAGAAUUAUGGAUAUUACAUAUCAAAUAAAUACACAAACAAAUAUGUACAGAAACAGGGUUGAGUCAAUAUGUUAUCAAUGUGUUAUAACAUAUUCUGAGAAGUCAACCACCCAAGGAAUGAAUACAAUAUGCAUGUUAUAUUACAGAAUGAUAUUUUCUCAGACAACAAAUUCACACAUGAUCCACAUCAAUUUCUUAAUCAAAUCUAUUGAAGUCCUAUUGCAAGACGAACCAAGUUCAGGUCCCACAUUGCAUUAUAUACCGAUACCAUGUACAUGAGUUUUCUUUUUGUAAUUGCUUGUAGUUAACUAAAAGAAACCACUUGCAGAGCAUCUUAAUAGAGGACUUUCUCUAAACCACUAAACAUCAGCUCUCUCCCCUAAUUAUCCCCUUCAAAUGAAGCCCAAUUGACAACUUCAGAGGUUUAGCGUGACUGGGUUAAGUGAUCAAAACGUCUGUACAUUUCACAUAGUGGGCCUUUAAAUGUUCACCUCACCUCCAUGUCUGGUCUGUCUGCAUUGUACUCUCUCUUGAAGAAAAAAGUGUUAAUUAAGGGCAUUGGUUGUUUUCUAUUACCACGCUGCUCUGGUUUACUUACAACAGCCAGCACAUCUCCAACACCACCACAUUGUUCACAGACUCAUGACAGCUCGCAAAGGUCUCCUUUAAGGCCACCAGUUCAUUUGCAUAUGGUAAUGACAUCAGAGCUGUGGCCCCCUUAUCUAUCAUGCUCUGGGUCUUGUCCUGUUUGCCUCUGAUCUAAUGAUGUGCCCCACCCCUUCUAAUCAGACCCCAAACAGUUUUGCAACAUCAGGUGUUUGACAUCUCGUCUGACACCCCCCCAUUACCCCGUACACACCCAUUUCAAAGCAAGUUUUUCUUAAGAAAUAUUUUUCUCCAGUUUUUUGGCCUUAUUUUGGCAGAUUUAUUUCCAGCUUCCAUUUUAAAAGGUGUUUUGUUUAACAAAUUGUCUGUCUCUUUUGUCAACAUUCAAACUCACCCAAGCAAACAUUGCCUAAUGUUCAAACAUGACCUCCACUGAACUGAUUAUUGAAGUCACUGAAUAAUUAAACAUUAAGUGGACAUCCUAAGAAACAGCCAACU